Papaver somniferum (opium poppy) is the source of this 626-nucleotide long non-coding RNA. RefSeq lists it as uncharacterized. The record is from RefSeq and is a predicted model, not a curated record. Lineage: Eukaryota; Viridiplantae; Streptophyta; Magnoliopsida; Ranunculales; Papaveraceae. The transcript has 3 exons.
UGUAGACUCGUUCAAUUUCAAUUUCGUUGUAUUUUCUACAUCUCGGUCUCUGUUCUUCAACACCCCUAUAUUUUUUUUCAUUCAUUCUAUUUUCAUCCACUGAUUAUUUUCUUGAAAUAAAUUAGAGGAAUAUAAUCUUCUUGUGUUGUCUAAUUUAUAUUAAUUGUUUAAUUUCACUUUUUUAGUUUCCUAUUUUUGCAGAAUUGAAGCCUCGAAUCUCAAACGUUGUGUCUAUGCCAGUUGAACCGCAGAUUUCCUUGCUCCCUUACUGUUAAUGAAUUGGCUGUUGGAAAGGUGCUACAUGCAUUAAAUGGAAAGUGAAAGUGAAGAUGAUGGUCUUGAUUUGUACAUGUUGAUCCGGUGGUGAAGAUGACCCAGGCACCUUUUCCACCCAAGGAGCAGAAAGGAAGCUUUCAAAGAAGGAGUUGAAGGAAAAGGAACUUGCAGAACUUGAUGCUGUUUUGGCUGAGCUAGGAAUUGACACAUUAUGCGUUACUGAGAACCUGAAUUACAUCUUGAAUCUGUCGACCAAACUAAUAUUUGAAUCUCAGUCUAUCAAUUAUUUUAUUUGUUGGUUAAGUAAUUACAAUAACGAAAGCAACUGUCAAUUGAACAACCUUAUACUC